RNAcentral lists this unclassified non-coding RNA (242 nucleotides) under plant metagenome. RNAcentral describes it as "partial contains small subunit ribosomal RNA, internal transcribed spacer 1, and 5.8S ribosomal RNA". The record is from RNAcentral.
UUUCCGUAGGUGAACCUGCGGAAGGAUCAUUCAUAAGUAAGUGUUUUUUACUGCCACUUUUUUAAAAAUCUACUACCCACCUUGUGUGCAACGUAUUGUAUGACAUUUUUAGUCACGUGCAUGUCACAUGAUCGAAUAUCCAAUAUAAUAACACCAAUUUUUUUACCUUGAAUAAAUUUGUCUGAAUAAUAUUAUGAAUAUAAUUCAAAAUAUAACUUUCAACAACGGAUCUCUUGGCUCUC